This 58-nucleotide ribosomal RNA is filed under the name Paratapes undulatus (undulate venus clam). RNAcentral's name for it is "5.8S ribosomal RNA". It matches the Rfam family "5.8S ribosomal RNA", at positions 1 to 57 of the family's 154-position model. Rfam says of the family: 5.8S ribosomal RNA (5.8S rRNA) is a component of the large subunit of the eukaryotic ribosome. It is transcribed by RNA polymerase I as part of the 45S precursor that also contains 18S and 28S rRNA. The record is from RNAcentral. Lineage: Eukaryota; Metazoa; Mollusca; Bivalvia; Venerida; Veneridae.
CAACUCUAUGCGGUGGAUCACUCGGCUCGUGCGUCGAUGAAGAGCGCAGCCAGCUGCG